CAGCCGCCGCGGUAAAACGGAGGGUGCAAGCGUUAAUCGGAAUUACUGGGCGUAAAGCGCACGCAGGCGGUCUGACAAGUCAGAUGUGAAAUCCCCGGGCUUAACCUGGGAACUGCAUUUGAAACUGUCAGGCUGGAGUCUUGUAGAGGGGGGUGGAAUUCCAGGUGUAGCGGUGAAAUGCGUAGAGAUCUGGAGGAAUACCGGUGGCGAAGGCGGCCCCCUGGACAAAGACUGACGCUCAGGUGCGAAAGCGUGGGGAGCAAACAGGAUUAGAUACCCGUGUAGUCCCUGUCUCUUAUAU
This 301-nucleotide ribosomal RNA is filed under the name uncultured bacterium. RNAcentral describes it as "partial 16S ribosomal RNA". It matches the Rfam family "Bacterial small subunit ribosomal RNA", at positions 509 to 809 of the family's 1533-position model. The record is from RNAcentral.